GUACGGCCGCAAGGUUAAAACUCAAAUGAAUUGACGGGGGCCCGCACAAGCGGUGGAGCAUGUGGUUUAAUUCGAUGCAACGCGAAGAACCUUACCUGGUCUUGACAUCCACGGAAGUUUUCAGAGAUGAGAAUGUGCCUUCGGGAACCGUGAGACAGGUGCUGCAUGGCUGUCGUCAGCUCGUGUUGUGAAAUGUUGGGUUAAGUCCCGCAACGAGCGCAACCCUUAUCCUUUGUUGCCAGCGGUCCGGCCGGGAACUCAAAGGAGACUGCCAGUGAUAAACUGGAGGAAGGUGGGGAUGACGUCAAGUCAUCAUGGCCCUUACGACCAGGGCUACACACGUGCUACAAUGGCGCAUACAAAGAGAAGCGACCUCGCGAGAGCAAGCGGACCUCAUAAAGUGCGUCGUAGUCCGGAUUGGAGUCUGCAACUCGACUCCAUGAAGUCGGAAUCGCUAGUAAUCGUGGAUCAGAAUGCCACGGUGAAUACGUUCCCGGGCCUUGUACACACCGCCCGUCACACCAUGGGAGUGGGUUGC
This 538-nucleotide ribosomal RNA is filed under the name Escherichia coli. Its description in RNAcentral is "bacterial SSU rRNA". It matches the Rfam family "Bacterial small subunit ribosomal RNA", at positions 880 to 1418 of the family's 1533-position model. The record is from RNAcentral. Lineage: Bacteria; Pseudomonadati; Pseudomonadota; Gammaproteobacteria; Enterobacterales; Enterobacteriaceae.